RNAcentral lists this ribosomal RNA (466 nucleotides) under uncultured bacterium. RNAcentral's name for it is "partial 16S ribosomal RNA". It matches the Rfam family "Bacterial small subunit ribosomal RNA", at positions 28 to 505 of the family's 1533-position model. The record is from RNAcentral.
GACGAACGCUGGCGGCGUGCUUAACACAUGCCAGUCGAACGGAAAGGCCCUGCUUUUGUGGGGUGCUCGAGUGGCGAACGGGUGAGUAACACGUGAGUAACCUGCCCUUGACUUUGGGAUAACUUCAGGAAACUGGGGCUAAUACCGGAUAGGAGCUCCUGCUGCAUGGUGGGGGUUGGAAAGCUUCGGCGGUUGGGGAUGGACUCGCGGCUUAUCAGCUUGUUGGUGGGGUAGUGGCUUACCAAGGCUUUGACGGGUAGCCGGCCUGAGAGGGUGACCGGCCACGUUGGGACUGAGAUACGGCACAGACUCCUACGGGAGGCAGCAGUGGGGAAUAUUGCACAAUGGGCGGAAGCCUGAUGCAGCAACGCCGCGUGCGGGAUGACGGCCUUCGGGUUGAAAACCGCUUUCGCCUGUGACGAAGCGUGAGUGACGGUAAUGGGUAAAGAAGCACCGGCUAACUACG